This is a long non-coding RNA of Dunckerocampus dactyliophorus (ringed pipefish), 595 nucleotides long. RefSeq lists it as uncharacterized. The transcript has 3 exons. The record is from RefSeq and is a predicted model, not a curated record. NCBI's taxonomy places the organism in Eukaryota, Metazoa, Chordata, Actinopteri, Syngnathiformes, Syngnathidae.
AACUAGCGUAACAAACCAGCAAUCCAAUGGCAACGCAGGACGGGUGCAGUCGAGUCAAAUGGCAAGUGAAUUUGACCACACUGCAGGCACGGCUGCCCCCGCUUGUGAUUAUUUACAGUCCGCACGCCAGCCUCGUCACUUCAAAUUUGAAAAGGCAUUUGGAGAUGGAAGCGUCCAUCCAGUGUGACAAAAUAUCUGCAAGUCCUUGACAAGCAGAAAAAGUCAUCAGGAAAGAGCAAGACCCCCCCCCGCCAGCCCCAAACGACCCAAGUCACACCGCCCACAGCCUUCAGGGGGUAUGAUUUCCCAGCAACAGUUUGAAGGCACUGGAACAUUUCUGCGCAGCAGAGGUCCUUGAAUGGCUUCCUUGCUGGCUUUGUGGACUGCAAUGAAGGCGGUGAAGGAGCUGCUCACUCCUGAUUGGACGCUGAGGUCCACCACCUGGGUCUUCACUGUCUCAUCCUGCUCUCUGCUGCGCUCUGUCUCCUGCGCCUCCAGGCAGCGAAUCAGAGUUCGAGCACACAGUCUGUGGAUGGUCAAUCUGCCGACAGCAAAGAGGAUCCAACACCAUCACAAACUCUUUAUAUUUAAUACA